RNAcentral lists this ribosomal RNA (33 nucleotides) under Dothiorella iberica. RNAcentral's name for it is "partial small subunit ribosomal RNA". The record is from RNAcentral. Lineage: Eukaryota; Fungi; Ascomycota; Dothideomycetes; Botryosphaeriales; Botryosphaeriaceae.
GUUCCGUAGGUGAACCUGCGGAAGGAUCAUUAC